GGACUACUCGGGUUUCUAAUCCUGUUUGAUCCCCACGCUUUCGCGCCUCAGCGUCAGUUGUGCGCCAGAUAGCCGCCUUCGCCACCGGUGUUCCUCCUAAUAUCUACGAAUUUCACCUCUACAUUAGGAAUUCCGCUAUCCCCUCACACACUCCAGCGAUACAGUUUCAAAGGCAGUUCCACAGUUAAGCUGUGGGAUUUCACCCCUGACUUGCAUCACCGCCUACGCGCUCUUUACGCCCAGUAAUUCCGAACAACGCUAGCACCCUUCGUAUUACCGCGGCUGCUGGCAC
This 292-nucleotide ribosomal RNA is filed under the name uncultured Alphaproteobacteria bacterium. Its description in RNAcentral is "partial 16S ribosomal RNA". Lineage: Bacteria; Pseudomonadati; Pseudomonadota; Alphaproteobacteria. The record is from RNAcentral.